RNAcentral lists this ribosomal RNA (417 nucleotides) under uncultured bacterium. Its description in RNAcentral is "bacterial SSU rRNA". It matches the Rfam family "Bacterial small subunit ribosomal RNA", at positions 770 to 1187 of the family's 1533-position model. The record is from RNAcentral.
UAACCGGAUUAGAUACCCUGGUAGUCCAUGCCGUAAACGUUGGGCACUAGGUGUGGGGUCUAUUCAACGGACUCCGUGCCGCAGCUAACGCAUUAAGUGCCCCGCCUGGGGAGUACGGCCGCAAGGCUAAAACUCAAAGGAAUUGACGGGGGCCCGCACAAGCAGCGGAGCAUGUUGCUUAAUUCGAGGCAACGCGAAGAACCUUACCUGGGUUUGACAUGUAGAGAAAAGCCGUAGAGAUACGGUGUCCUUCGGGGUUCUACACAGGUGGUGCAUGGUCGUCGUCAGCUCGUGUCGUGAGAUGUUGGGUUAAGUCCCGCAACGAGCGCAACCCUUGUCCUAUGUUGCCAGCACGUCAUGGUGGGGACUCGUAGGAGACUGCCGGGGUCAACUCGGAGGAAGGUGGGGAUGACGUAA